AGUGAACGCUGGCGGCGUGCCUAAUACAUGCAAGUCGAACGGAGUGGCGCACGGGUGAGUAAUAUAUAGCUAAUCUGCCCCUUGCUGGCGGCCAACGGUUAGAAAUGACUGCUAAUACUCCAUAGGAAGGGAUGAGACUAUAUCGUAUCAGCUAGUCGGUGGGGUAACGGCCUACCGAGGCUAUGACGCGUAACUGGUCUGAGAGGAUGAUCAGUCACAUGGGAACUGAGACACGGUCCAAACGCCUACGGGAGGCAGCAGUAGGGAAUAGUGCGCAAUGGGGGAAACCCUGACGCAGCAACGGCGCGUGGGGGAUGACACUUUUCAGAGCAUAAACUCCUUUGGUUAGGGAAGCGGUACCUAACGAAUAAGCACCGGCUAACUCCGUGCCAGCAGCCGCGGUAAUUC
RNAcentral lists this ribosomal RNA (408 nucleotides) under uncultured bacterium. RNAcentral describes it as "partial 16S ribosomal RNA". It matches the Rfam family "Bacterial small subunit ribosomal RNA", at positions 29 to 526 of the family's 1533-position model. The record is from RNAcentral.